Molecule: ribosomal RNA, 249 nt
Filed under: uncultured bacterium
Lineage: Bacteria
Description: partial 16S ribosomal RNA
Rfam family: Bacterial small subunit ribosomal RNA
Source: RNAcentral
AGUAACACGUGGGUAACCUGCCUUAUAGUGGGGGAUAGCCGUUUCGAAAGGAAGAUUAAUACCGCAUAAGAUUGUAGUAUCGCAUGAUAUAGCAAUUAAAGGAGCAAUUCGCUAUAAGAUGGACCCGCGUCGCAUUAGCUAGUUGGUGGGGUAAUGGCUCACCAAGGCGACGAUGCGUAGCCGACCUGAGAGGGUGAUCGGCCACAUUGGGACUGAGACACGGCCCAGACUCCUACGGGAGGCAGCAUG